UAUAUAUUGCCUUAAAAAAAGAAAGAAAAAUCAGGUGGAAGGGAGGGGUGAUAGUGAUGGUGAGAGAAAAGAAGAAAAAAAAUACCCUAUGCGCUCUCGUGUGCAUGCACACACACGCAUGCACACACACACAUAUACGUACACACACUUCUUCCUAUUAACGUCAAAUUCAAUUUCCAUGUACUAUUUCCUUUGUUAACACCAAAUGAUUCACGUAUCCGUUCUGGCAUGAAAGAAGCAACGGGCUCUUCAACCAAUUGACCACUUCAUAUCUUUCACACCCAGCCCGUUCUACGAGCCCUUCUCUUUUGCCCACCCUUGUUAACACUCAACGCUUUCUCUCUCUCUCUCUCUUUCUCUCUCUCGUUCUCUCUCUCACACACACACACACACACAUACUCUCUGCGGGUUGUAGUUUUACUGGCGAAGGAACAUCUCCCAUUUCUAAGCUCAUGUAACACGAUCAAUGUGCCUCUGGAAAUCCGAUAUAUUUCCAAUGAUAUAGACGAUAACAUAGAAACGACAGAUAGUUUAUAAUCUCAACGGGAUGAUCCUUCAAUUAUUGGUUGACCUAAUGUAUGAGACGUUAUACAUAGUUCUUCGUUUCUAGGAACACAGGGUGGGACAGAAAGUUUUUAGGUCAUUUUAUAAAAGUCAAUUAUCUAUUCUCCCUUAAUCGAAACUUUUUUUCGAUUAAGGAAGAAAAAUUGUUUUCCUUUCCUCUUUCUUUCUUUUCUUUUUUCUUUUUCCUUUUCUCUUUCGUUUUUCUUUUUUUUUUUUCUUUCCAAAGAAGCUUAGGAAUUUCUUCGUUUUUUUCUUUUUUUUUUUUUUUAUCCACCCCUAGGAACUUUUAAUCUUUCAAAUACUAAUCAUUCUAUGUUCGUAUGACGAUUCGUUCUUCUAAUUUAAAAGGGGAUAAUAAUGUAUGGAGAAGUAAAGAGGAAAGAAUUGCACGUUAUCAAAUGGAAGAACAAAAUGGCCGUUUCAAGAAGAAACUAAAAUGGCUAACAGAAAGAGGAUGUGUCAUAAAAUGGGGAAAUCGUAUUAUAAGGUUUAUGAACAGUUAAAAGUAAUAAAUAUGUGAUAUCAAUGAGAUAUUUUUUAUCCCCUGGUAUAUACCGUACAUCCUUCCAUCUUGUCCCAACAAAAUGGUCGUUCGUAGAAGAAAAUAAAAUGCCUGGACAAAGAGGGUGUAACAUAAAACUAAUCGAAGUAUUGGUUAUGUAAAUAAAAACAAAAUGGCUGAAUAGAGGAGUUGGUGGGCUAGGUAGGGGAGGUGGAUGCCUGUAUCAUAAAACGAAUCGAAGUAUAGGUUAUGGAACGCCCUUGCGACCUCGACUUCUGGCUUUACUGAAAACGCAAAAAAAAAAGAGAGAGAGAGAGAGAACUUUAGUGGUUUUGGAGAAGAACAGAAUUGAUCGAUCUUUUCCUCCUGUAAAGAGAAAGAGAGAGAAAGAAAUCUAUGAAAUGGUUGGGGUAUCAUCUUGGUGAAGGAGAACAGAAGUGGGCAAUGUUAGUGGAGAGAGAAAGAGACACAGAGACAGAGAGAAGAAAAGGAUAGAGAGGGA
Long non-coding RNA from Vespa velutina, 1568 nucleotides. RefSeq lists it as uncharacterized. The record is from RefSeq and is a predicted model, not a curated record. Lineage: Eukaryota; Metazoa; Arthropoda; Insecta; Hymenoptera; Vespidae. The transcript is spliced from 2 exons.